This 564-nucleotide small RNA is filed under the name Pan troglodytes (chimpanzee). Its description in RNAcentral is "processed transcript". Lineage: Eukaryota; Metazoa; Chordata; Mammalia; Primates; Hominidae. The record is from RNAcentral.
AUUGGCCUGGCAGGCAGGAUCGAGGAGGAAGUGGCUGAUUACUGAGCGGUUCUUCCUCACCUGGCUUGGGCCACUGUGCACAGCUGUGCCACUGGCUCAGCCCCGCCCCCUGCGGCCCUCCGCCGUGGCUUCCCCAUCCCUACAGAGAGAUGCUGUCCCAUGGGACCUCAGCCGAUCCCUGCCCUCCUGCCUCUACUCCUGCACCGACUGGCCUCACCGCCUGGUGCCCUGCAGGGUGGGGGAUCAGGUGACCCAUAUUCGGAUCCAGAACUCAGGGGAUUUCUAUGACCUGUAUGGAGGGGAGAAGUUCGCGACUCUGACAGAGCUGGUGGAGUACUACACUCAGCAGCAGGGCGUCCUGCAGGACCGCGACGGCACCAUCAUCCACCUCAAGUACCCGCUGAACUGCUCCGAUCCCACUAGUGAGAGGUGGUACCAUGGCCACAUGUCUGGCGGGCAGGCAGAGACGCUGCUGCAGGCCAAGGGCGAGCCCUGGACGUUUCUUGUGCGUGAGAGCCUCAGCCAGCCUGGAGACUUCGUGCUGUCUGUGCUCAGUGACCAGCC